UGUCCCCAUGGCACAGGGCCCAGCUGUCGACUAUACUAGCCGAUGGGUGGAUGAUGGUCCCUGUGUUUGGG
This 71-nucleotide microRNA precursor is filed under the name Tursiops truncatus (common bottlenose dolphin). Its description in RNAcentral is "miRNA (ENSTTRG00000025057.1)". Lineage: Eukaryota; Metazoa; Chordata; Mammalia; Artiodactyla; Delphinidae. The record is from RNAcentral.